This 65-nucleotide transfer RNA is filed under the name Alphaproteobacteria bacterium. RNAcentral describes it as "tRNA-Val". Lineage: Bacteria; Pseudomonadati; Pseudomonadota; Alphaproteobacteria. The record is from RNAcentral.
GGCGCGUAGCUCAGCGGGAGAGCACCACGUUGACAUCGUGGGGGUCGCUGGAUAAUUCGCCACCA